Molecule: ribosomal RNA, 515 nt
Filed under: uncultured bacterium
Lineage: Bacteria
Description: partial 16S ribosomal RNA
Rfam family: Bacterial small subunit ribosomal RNA
Source: RNAcentral
GAUGAACGCUGGCGGCGUGCCUAAUACAUGCAAGUCGAGCGAAUGGAUUAAGAGCUUGCUCUUAUGAAGUUAGCGGCGGACGGGUGAGUAACACGUGGGUAACCUGCCCAUAAGACUAGGAUAACUCCGGGAAACCGGGGCUAAUACCGGAUAACAUUUUGAACCGCAUGGUUCGAAAUUGAAAGGCGGCUCCGGCUGUCACUUAUGGAUGGACCCGCGUCGCAUUAGCUAGUUGGUGAGGUAACGGCUCACCAAGGCAACGAUGCGUAGCCGACCUGAGAGGGUGAUCGGCCACACUGGGACUGAGACACGGCCCAGACUCCUACGGGAAGCAGCAGUAGGGAAUCUUCCGCAAUGGACGAAAGUCUGACGGAGCAACGCCGCGUGAGUGAUGAAGGCUUUCGGGUCGUAAAACUCUGUUGUUAGGGAAGAACAAGUGCUAGUUGAAUAAGCUGACACCUUGACGGUACCUAACCAGAAAGCCACGGUUAACUACGUGCCAGCAGCCGCGGUAA